Molecule: long non-coding RNA, 218 nt
Filed under: Homo sapiens (human)
Lineage: Eukaryota; Metazoa; Chordata; Mammalia; Primates; Hominidae
Description: non-protein coding lnc-FAM173B-7:1
Source: RNAcentral
ACUAUGGCAAAGAAGGUCUUUGCCGCGUGCACGGGUGUUUCGCCAUGCAUUUUAAAGACAUAGUGGAAAUCACACCGUAUGCAAACUUGCGUUCGUUUUGGCCAUUUAGCACGGAGGAGCCUUUCCACCAUGCCGUUAAAUACUCCUUGUAACUCUCUUCCUGCAGUGAGACAUUCUGGUUGUAGCGUUUUUACUAAUAUAAAACUAUUAAAAAACUG